GUGGUCGUAAGGCUUGCGCCUGAGAGGAUUAUACCACCGACGGGUAUAGGAGGCAGAUAAUAAGGAUGAUGAUGAUGGUGAGAAGGAGGAAUCAUCUGUGGGGCUAGUAGCGCAACAGGUGAAAGUAUUGUUGGUGGAUUUGCAGGAGAAAAAGAAGAGGGAGAAAGGUUCGCGCUUGGGUGAUGAGCCCAGGCUAAAGACAGUG
RNAcentral lists this unclassified non-coding RNA (205 nucleotides) under Hevea brasiliensis (rubber tree). The record is from RNAcentral. Lineage: Eukaryota; Viridiplantae; Streptophyta; Magnoliopsida; Malpighiales; Euphorbiaceae.